Long non-coding RNA from Brassica napus (rape), 2515 nucleotides. RefSeq lists it as uncharacterized. The record is from RefSeq and is a predicted model, not a curated record. The transcript has 2 exons. Lineage: Eukaryota; Viridiplantae; Streptophyta; Magnoliopsida; Brassicales; Brassicaceae.
GGAAAGUCAACUUUUACAGCUUUAAUAUUCAUUAUGUUAGUUUAUAAACUUUUAUUUUUUUUAAAUAUAAAAUUUAAUUAUUUAACGAAACAUUAAAGUAAUAGUAUUAUGGAAGAAACCAUUCCUAGUAUUAGAUGGAGAUUUUUUUCUGUAUUAGGCAUCUCCAACUAUAAUACCUAAUUUAUUAUUAAAAUUACACCAAAUUUAAAGUUUUGGUGUCAUAUUUUUUCGCCAUUUUCAGCUAUAACACCGAAUAAUACACCAACAGUAAUAUAAUAUAUUAUUUAGUAUUUUCAAUUUUAAUUAUUUUAUAUUUUUAUUAUUUGUAAUUGAUAAAUAACUUUUUUAUCACACUUAGAUUUUAUGUUUUUUUUAAUUUUGAAAUCUUAUAUUUAUAAAAUUUGUUUACAUUUAUAUUUUUUGGUUUAACUGUAUUAUACCUUUUAUUUAUCUAUUUUAAAUAAAAUAUUAUAUUAAAAUUACAAACUAUUAAUUAUGGAAAGAACAUAACAAAAUAAUAUAUUUAUUUUAAUAAAAAAUUAUUAAUUAGUAAUGCAAGUUUAACAAUAUUAUAAAAUAAAAAUGUUAUUUAAUGUUUGGUGAAUUUAAUAGUAUUACAUAAAGUUUUAAUUAUUUACUCUUAAAUAUUCUUUACAAUAGCGUAAUAUUAUUAAUUUUUCAUAAUAAAGAUUAUAAUUAAUAUUUUAAAAUAAAAAUAUAUUACAAUAAAUAAAUUAAAUGAUAUAUUAUAAAAUAAAUGAUAAUAAUCAUUUAGUGAUUUCUUACUUGAAAUUAAAUAAAAUAUAAAAUUUCUAUGAUAUUUUAUUUUUUUAUAAUAUAAAGAAAAUGAUAAUAAUCAAUUAGUAAUUUCUUACUUGAAAAUAAAAUAAAAAUAUUUUAGUUAUGUUAAAAUAAUUAAAAAUACAAAUAAUAUAGUGUACUUAUGUUUACUUACAAAUUUGAACUAAUUAAUAAUAAUAAUUAAACAAAUAAUUGAACUAUAUCAUUAAAUGAAACAUAAUAAAUUUGGUAUAUUGGUGUUCUUUUGGAGUUGGCCUUAGUUCAACGGAACAACUUGUGGUCGUCCAUACCGAAUAAUACCACUGUUACGUGGUUUCCAAUGGUCUAGUGGGAUUUUCAUUAAUAAAGAACGUAGCUAGCUAAUAUAUAAGGCAAGCAAGCACCAUUUUACAAAAUAUAAGAAGAACAAAGAUGGAUCAAAUACAUGACUGAUAGAUUAAAAGAUGAGGAGAGCAGAGGAAGACCGGCGAUUAUGGGGGAUCAAACCAGAACUGCGGCAGGCGGGGACCAAGCGGGUGGCUAAGGGACAGUAAUGCAGAUCAUUUAUCCCUCAGAUAAUCAGAUAUGUAUCUCAUGAAUAUGAACAGGCGGUAAAGUCAAACCAUCAUGCAACCGUCUGUUCCUCUCUUUGCAGAGUUCAUAUAUAGCUGCUUGCCAUACUUGAAGAAUUGCCAGUUUAACCAUAGUCCGAGUGGGCAUUAGGCAGCCACUGUAAAAUAUUAGACCACAUCAACGGCACUGAAGAUGAGUGAAACCUCCGUAGCAUUUCACACCCUUGAAGAGAAAGAGCAUUCAAAUAAGAGGUGAUUGCGAGAUUCAUCAUCUUCCCCGCAUAACAAGCAAAUGUUAUUUUUCUUUCAAAUUUAUUUACCGCUUUAGUUUAUACGUUGUUUAUAUCUUUUUAACAAAUUAAUGAAAAUAUAACUUUAUAACUAAUUAUAUGUAUAAUACUUUCGAGCUUUUACAUUAAAGAUUUAUUUUGUUAAUGUGAAUGCAAAACACAAUUUAACUGCAAAAUACAUCUUAGAUAUUAUACUCUCACCUGUAUAACAAGAAAUUGUAAAUCUCAAUUCUUUUGAAAAGAGUAUUGUUUUAUUUUUAAUAUAUUUAAUUUUAAACAAAGUUACAUUUUAAACCUAGCACUUUAUUUGAUUAAUUAAUAUUUUUUAUUAAUAUAUUAAUACAAGGUAGGAUAUAUAUUUUUGGAUUUAAGAAAUAUAUAUAUAGUAAAACUAUACUCAUUGUAAGAAUAUAUGAAAAUACAGAAACUUACUAAAUUAAAUAGGUUGGUAUAGGCAAAGAUAAAAUAAUUAUUAACAAUACUGUUCCAAAAAACUAUAUUGUUCUAAGGAUAAAAAUGUCAUGAUUAAUCUUGGAAAUUAUAAAUAUUUGGGUUCUAACCAUAUCAAGAACUAAGUUGAUACUACUUUACAGAGUCAAUAUGAGUCUGUAAAAGUCGAUGACAAAAAAAAAAAAAAAGUUGAUACUACUUGACCAGACAAAAAUAAAAUCAUAUUUUAGAUUUCAUUAAAUUUUUUUGAAUCAGAUUAAUCGUGUGUACUGUUGUAGAAGAUUAGUUAAACUAUAAUUCAAAUAUCUUCAGAUUAAAAAAAUAUAAAUAUUCAUAUUUCUUUAUUAUUUUUUUUGAAAAAACGCUAUAAUAAAAAAUAAUGUUUAUUAUAAUAUACUUUAAUAGCAUUUUUCUAAAUUUAGA